GGGCCGUUAGCUCAGUAGGUAGAGCAUCUGCCUUUUAAGCAGAGGGUCACAGGUUCGAAUCCUGUACGGCUCACCA
RNAcentral lists this transfer RNA (76 nucleotides) under Caldisericota bacterium. RNAcentral describes it as "Caldiserica bacterium tRNA-Lys". It matches the Rfam family "tRNA". Rfam says of the family: Transfer RNA (tRNA) molecules are approximately 80 nucleotides in length. Their secondary structure includes four short double-helical elements and three loops (D, anti-codon, and T loops). The record is from RNAcentral. Lineage: Bacteria; Pseudomonadati; Caldisericota.